GACAUUUUAGAGCUGGAGAAACUGGAGGUGCUUCCUUCCCUCAUGGAACUGUCUGUAGUGGGCAACCCAGUGAGUCACACACACACACACACACACACANACACACACACACACACACACACACACACACACACACACACACACACACACACACACACACACACACACACACACACACAAUGCUCUAGAUGAAGAGAUUUCAAAAUUGAGACCUUGGCUGAACUGCAAACUAACCAUGAUUACAGACAAAUCCUUACACACACUCACUCUCCGGUUCUGAAUAAAUACAGUAUGUUUUGUCCUCUUUAGUUGGCUGAAAAUCCCUUUAAUUAGACAUUAUAUUCUGCCCUAUGACUUACCAAGUGUGUGUGUUGCAGGUGGCUCGGCGGUCACUGCACAGGCCAGCAGUUGUACUGCAUCUGUCUACACUCCAGGUUCUGGAUGGCACGACAGUCACCCUGGAAGAAAGAACAAGAGCAGAGAUUUUAAAUAAUGAAGCACAGGGUUCUAGUUCAGGUGGUGAAGUGACUUUACCCGGUUUGGUACCAUUGGUGACCCGACCGGCUCCUUUAAGAGGUGCAGGAAUGCACUCACUCGUACCUGAUCAGCAAGACGACACACAUGAUACCAGCAGAUAUAGGAAGCAGAAAGCAGUUGCCUCUCUCUUGCGUGGAGUUCAGAGUGACUUCAACUUCAGGCAGAUCAGAGGAUCUUCCAGCCACUACAUGACAGCGCUGCAGCAGAGCGGAUACAGAGUUCUCUCCACUUUCCCUAACGCUGAUCCUGAGACCAGGUACAAGUGUCACAGUGUACCCAGACCUCCUCCUCCUCCUCCUCCUCCUCUGUAACACAAAGUCAUAGAUGCACUAUGUGUGUCAUGAAUUUCAGCUUUGGUCUUGUAUGUUGUUGUUCAUCUUUGAAUCUUAGAUAAGACUUAAAUCUUUAAAUUUAUUUAUUUGGAAUUGUGUCAAUAUCAAAAGAUAUUAAAUGUAUAUUUUCUAUUCAAGACUUUGAGUGGUGUCCUUUAUCUUAAGUCUUUGUCCUUGCAACAUUCUCACUUUCCAUGAGGUUUGGUUUUAUUUUUUAAAAAAUGUAUUUGAUAGUUAUGAAGUCACUUCAAAUAUAAAAGUAUAUACAAAACAUUUGUCAAAAAAAAUCUUUCUUGGAAACUCAAAUGUUUUGGCCUGUAGUUGCAAAAUUUGUCCAUUGAGGGGUCCCAGAGGGCUUGUUUGGUUUUUAAUUUAUUGUGGAACUUGGUUGGAACAUAUAAACAUUAAAAUUUAACAGUGCUAAAAAAAUUUAAUUGUGAUAUCUGUUCUCAGUUUUACUUUUAUAAUAAUAAUAAUUAUUAUUAUUUGUUUUAAUGUAUUCUAUAGAUAAUAAAAAAAUUAUUAGUUGUUAUUGUUGUUGUUGU
Cyprinus carpio (common carp) is the source of this 1414-nucleotide long non-coding RNA. NCBI's taxonomy places the organism in Eukaryota, Metazoa, Chordata, Actinopteri, Cypriniformes, Cyprinidae. The record is from Ensembl.